This 138-nucleotide small nuclear RNA is filed under the name Erinaceus europaeus (western European hedgehog). Its description in RNAcentral is "U2 spliceosomal RNA". It matches the Rfam family "U2 spliceosomal RNA". Rfam says of the family: U2 is a small nuclear RNA (snRNA) component of the spliceosome (involved in pre-mRNA splicing). The record is from Rfam by way of RNAcentral. Lineage: Eukaryota; Metazoa; Chordata; Mammalia; Eulipotyphla; Erinaceidae.
AUUGCUUCUUGGCCUUUUGGCUAAGAUCAAGUGAAGUGGAGGUAUUUUAUUUAUUUAUUUAUUUAUUUUGACCUAAUUCACCACUUGUGAAGUGAUCUCCCUGCAGGUGAGGAGCUGGGGGCUCAGACCAGAAUCCAU